GACGAACGCUGGCGGCGCGCCUAACACAUGCAAGUCGAACGAGCGAGAGGAAGCUUGCUUUCUCGAGCGAGUGGCGAACGGGUGAGUAACGCGUGAGGAACCUGCCUCAAAGAGGGGAACAACAGUUGGAAACGACUGCUAAUACCGCAUAAGCCCACGGGUCGGCAUCGACCAGAGGGAAAAGGAGCAAUCCGCUUUGAGAUGGCCUCGCGUCCGAUUAGCUGGUUGGUGAGGUAACGGCCCACCAAGGCGACGAUCGGUAGCCGGACUGAGAGGUUGAACGGCCACAUUGGGACUGAGACACGGCCCAGACUCCUACGGGAGGCAGCAGUGGGGAAUAUUGCACAAUGGGGGAAACCCUGAUGCAGCGACGCCGCGUGGAGGAAGAAGGUCUUCGGAUUGUAAACUCCUGUUGUUGAGGAAGAUAAUGACGGUACUCAACAAGGAAGUGACGGCUAACUACGUGCCAGCCGCCGCUGUAA
RNAcentral lists this ribosomal RNA (482 nucleotides) under uncultured bacterium. RNAcentral's name for it is "partial 16S ribosomal RNA". It matches the Rfam family "Bacterial small subunit ribosomal RNA", at positions 28 to 523 of the family's 1533-position model. The record is from RNAcentral.